RNAcentral lists this ribosomal RNA (460 nucleotides) under uncultured bacterium. Its description in RNAcentral is "partial 16S ribosomal RNA". It matches the Rfam family "Bacterial small subunit ribosomal RNA", at positions 338 to 795 of the family's 1533-position model. The record is from RNAcentral.
CCUACGGGAGGCAGCAGUGAGGAAUAUUGGUCAAUGGGCGCGAGCCUGAACCAGCCAAGCAGCGUGAAGGAAGACUGCCCUACGGGUUGUAAACUUCUUUUAUAAAAGAAUAAAGUCCGGCACGAGUGCCUGAUUGCGUGUACUUUAUGAAUAAGCAUCGGCUAACUCCGUGCCAGCAGCCGCGGUAAUACGGAGGAUCCGAGCGUUAUCCGGAUUUAUUGGGUUUAAAGGGAGCGUAGAUGGGUUGUUAAGUCAGCUGUGAAAGUUUGGGGCUCAACCGUAAAAGUGCAUUUGAGACUGGCAGUCUUGAGUACAGUGGAGGUAGGCGGAAUGCGUGGUGUAGCGGUGAAAUGCUUAGAUAUCGCGAAGAACUCCGAUUGCGAAGGCAGCUUACUAGCGUGCCACUGACAUUGAUGCUCGAAAGUGUGGGUAUCGAACAGGAUUAGAUACCCGGGUAGUC